RNAcentral lists this ribosomal RNA (253 nucleotides) under uncultured bacterium. Its description in RNAcentral is "partial 16S ribosomal RNA". It matches the Rfam family "Bacterial small subunit ribosomal RNA", at positions 524 to 776 of the family's 1533-position model. The record is from RNAcentral.
UACGUAGGGUGCGAGCGUUGUCCGGAAUUAUUGGGCGUAAAGAGCUCGUAGGUGGUUUGUCGCGUUGUUCGUGAAAUCUCACGGCUUAACUGUGAGCGUGCGGGCGAUACGGGCAGACUAGAGUACUGCAGGGGAGACUGGAAUUCCUGGUGUAGCGGUGGAAUGCGCAGAUAUCAGGAGGAACACCGGUGGCGAAGGCGGGUCUCUGGGCAGUAACUGACGCUGAGGAGCGAAAGCGUGGGGAGCGAACAGG